Molecule: ribosomal RNA, 468 nt
Filed under: uncultured bacterium
Lineage: Bacteria
Description: partial 16S ribosomal RNA
Rfam family: Bacterial small subunit ribosomal RNA
Source: RNAcentral
GACGAACGCUGGCGGCGUGCUUAACACAUGCAAGUCGAACGGAAAGGCGCUGCUUUUGCGGGGUUCUCGAGUGGCGAACGGGUGAGUAACACGUGAGUAACCUGCCCUUGACUUUGGGAUAACAUCAGGAAACUGGGGCUAAUACCGGAUAGGAGCUCCUGCUGCAUGGUGGGGGAUGGAAAGAUUCGGCGGUGGGGGAUGGACUGGAGGGUUAUCAGCUUGUUGGGGAGGUAGGGGCGUACCAAGUCUUCGACGGGUAGCCCGCCUGGGAGGGUGACCGGCGUCAUGGGGACUGAGGUAGGGCCCAGUAUCCUACCGUCCGCAGUAGGGGGAAAUCUUGCACAAUGGGCGGACGCCAGAUACAGCAGUCUCGCGUGCGGGAUGACGGCUUUCGGGUUGUAAACAGCUUUCGCCUGUGACGAAGCGUGAGUGACGGUAAUGGGUAAAGAAGCACCGGCUAACUACGUG